Long non-coding RNA from Conger conger (European conger), 677 nucleotides. RefSeq lists it as uncharacterized. The record is from RefSeq and is a predicted model, not a curated record. Lineage: Eukaryota; Metazoa; Chordata; Actinopteri; Anguilliformes; Congridae. The transcript is spliced from 3 exons.
CCGCUGGCUUACGGGCCGUCGCAAAAACUCUGUCCGGCCCCUCGUUACUUUUCGCCAGGUCUUUUACCAUUUGGAGUCCGAUGCCCCUGCUCGUACCUGUGAUCAGCACCGAACGGCACGUGCUAAAUCCCCCGCUCAUAUUUUAUAAGAAUUAAGAAAAUCUGCUGGUGACGCAGUCCGCGGGAUAGUGUGUUUUGCUACUUCGCAAUCACUGAAAUGAAAGUGCAUUCCUGCGUGCCGAAGUCCAAUAGCGACUCUGGGUUGCAUAAUACAGCUCCACAGUGACGCCAUCGACAAUCACAGGGCGCUCGGCAACAAGCAUGGCCUUGCUGGGAAGAGGGAUCUGCCCUUGGAGGACGACUUCAAAUCAAAAAUGGGAGCCCUUGAGAAUGUGUCCCCCUCCCUCACAUCAGAAGAGUUGGGCCAGCCUUAGCCGGUCUUGGCGUCCCGUGUCCAGGACCUGAUCCCGCCUCGGUACCCCUAAUCACGCACUUUCCAAACAGACCCAGACACUCUGGCUGCUGCAGCCCAAUCUGCUAGGACCUUCCCUCCCGCUCAACUCCUCCCAACAAACAAAGGAUUGAGUUUUUGUUUUUAUUUGUUUUUCUUUAUUCCCAGUCAGUGGUUUUUGGAAAAAUUAUGUCUUAUGAAUAAUAAAACUAGUUAAGUGCACUGGA